AAGAGUGUAGUUUAAGGGCAAAAUUGGAAGCUUCAACCUUCAAGUUCUUGGUUCGAAUCCGAGUACUCUUG
RNAcentral lists this transfer RNA (71 nucleotides) under Claviceps sp. LM84 group G4. Its description in RNAcentral is "tRNA-Sec". It matches the Rfam family "tRNA". Rfam says of the family: Transfer RNA (tRNA) molecules are approximately 80 nucleotides in length. Their secondary structure includes four short double-helical elements and three loops (D, anti-codon, and T loops). Lineage: Eukaryota; Fungi; Ascomycota; Sordariomycetes; Hypocreales; Clavicipitaceae. The record is from RNAcentral. RNAcentral also lists the same sequence under 2 other names.